This is a non-coding RNA of Caenorhabditis elegans, 21 nucleotides long. NCBI's taxonomy places the organism in Eukaryota, Metazoa, Nematoda, Chromadorea, Rhabditida, Rhabditidae. The record is from Ensembl.
UUCAUCUGUGAUCCCCUCAAU